UACGUAGGGUGCGAGCGUUGUCCGGAAUUACUGGGCGUAAAGAGCUCGUAGGCGGUCUGUCGCGUCUGCUGUGAAAACUCAGGGCUUAACCCUGAGCUUGCAGUGGGUACGGGCAGACUAGAGUGCGGUAGGGGAGACUGGAAUUCCUGGUGUAGCGGUGAAAUGCGCAGAUAUCGGGAGGAACACCAGUGGCGAAGGCAGCACUCUGGGCCGGAACUGACGCUGAGGAGCGAAAGCGUGGGGAGCGAACAGG
RNAcentral lists this ribosomal RNA (253 nucleotides) under uncultured bacterium. RNAcentral describes it as "partial 16S ribosomal RNA". It matches the Rfam family "Bacterial small subunit ribosomal RNA", at positions 524 to 776 of the family's 1533-position model. The record is from RNAcentral.